CCUACGGGCGGCUGCAGUGAGGAAUAUUGGUCAAUGGGCUUACGCCUGAACCAGCCAAGUCGCGUGAGGGAAGACUGCCCUAUGGGUUGUAAACCUCUUUUGUCAGGGAGCAAUUGGCGCUACGUGUAGCGUUAUCGAGAGUACCUGAAGAAAAAGCAUCGGCUAACUCCGUGCCAGCAGCAGCGGUAAUACGGAGGAUGCGAGAGUUAUCCGGCUUUGUUGGGUUAAAAGGGUGCGUAGGCGGAAUGCCAAGUCAGCGGUAAACUCGAGGGGCUCAACCUCGCUCCGCCGUUGAAACUGGCGUUCUGGAGUGGGCGAGAAGUAUGCGGAAUGCGUGGUGUAGCGGUGAAAUGCAUAGAUAUCACGCAGAACUCCGAUUGCGAAGGCAGCAUACCGGCGCCCAACUGACGCUGAAGCACGAAAGCGUGGGUAUCGAACAGGAUUAGAUACCCUAGUAGUC
RNAcentral lists this ribosomal RNA (460 nucleotides) under uncultured bacterium. Its description in RNAcentral is "partial 16S ribosomal RNA". It matches the Rfam family "Bacterial small subunit ribosomal RNA", at positions 338 to 795 of the family's 1533-position model. The record is from RNAcentral.